This 473-nucleotide ribosomal RNA is filed under the name uncultured bacterium. Its description in RNAcentral is "bacterial SSU rRNA". It matches the Rfam family "Bacterial small subunit ribosomal RNA", at positions 328 to 793 of the family's 1533-position model. The record is from RNAcentral.
CGCUAUCACUCCUACGGGAGGCAGCAGUAGGGAAUCUUCCACAAUGGGCGCAAGCCUGAUGGAGCAACACCGCGUGAGUGAAGAAGGGUUUCGGCUCGUAAAGCUCUGUUGUUAAAGAAGAACACGUAUGAGAGUAACUGUUCAUACGUUGACGGUAUUUAACCAGAAAGUCACGGCUAACUACGUGCCAGCAGCCGCGGUAAUACGUAGGUGGCAAGCGUUAUCCGGAUUUAUUGGGCGUAAAGAGAGUGCAGGCGGUUUUCUAAGUCUGAUGUGAAAGCCUUCGGCUUAACCGAAGAAGUGCAUCGGAAACUGGAUAACUUGAGUGCAGAAGAGGGUAGUGGAACUCCAUGUGUAGCGGUGGAAUGCGUAGAUAUAUGGAAGAACACCAGUGGCGAAGGCGGCUACCUGGUCUGCAACUGACGCUGAGACUCGAAAGCAUGGGUAGCGAACAGGAUUAGAUACCCUGGUAG